Molecule: long non-coding RNA, 2083 nt
Filed under: Homo sapiens (human)
Lineage: Eukaryota; Metazoa; Chordata; Mammalia; Primates; Hominidae
Description: HSALNT0333453
Source: RNAcentral
GCCGGGAUUGCAGACGGAGUCUGGUUCACUCAGUGCUCAAUGGCGCCCAGGCUGGAGUGCAGUGGCGUGAUCUCCGCUCGCUACAACCUCCACCUCCCAGCCGCCUGCCUUGGCCUCCCAAAGUGCCGAGAUUGCAGCCUCUGCCCGGCCGCCACCCCGUCUGGGAAGUGAGGAGCGUCUCUGCCUGGCCGCCCAUCGUCUGGGAUGUGAGGAGCCCCUCUGCCUGGCUGCCCAGUCUGGAAAGUGAGGAGCGUCUCUGCCCGGCCGCCAUCCCAUCUGGGAAGUGAGGAGCGCCUCUUCCCGGCCGCCAUCACAUCUAGGAAGUGAGGAGCGUCUCUGCCCGGCCGCCCAUCGUCUGGGAUGUGGGGAGCGCCUCUGCCCCGCCGCCCUGUCUGGGAUGUGAGGAGCGCCUCUGCCCGGCCGCCAUCCCGUCUGGGAGGUGAGGAGCGUCUCUGCCCGGCCGCCCCGUCUGAGAAGUGAGGAGACCCUCCGCCGGGCAGCCGCCCCGUAUGAGAAGUGAGGAGCCUCUCUGCCCGGCAGCCGCCCCGUCUGAGAAGUGAGGAGCCUCUCCACCCGGCAGCCACCCCGUCUGGGAAGUAAGGAGCGUCUCCGCCCGGCAGCCACCCCGUCCUGGAGGGAGGUGGGGGGGUCAGCCCCCCGCCAGGCCAGCCGCCCCGUCCGGGAGGGAGGUGGGGGCGUCAGCCCCCCGCCCGGCCAGCCGUCCCGUCCGGGAGGGAGGUGGGGGGGUCAGCCCCCCGCCCGGCCAGACGCCCCGUCCGGGAGGUGAGGGGCGCCUCUGCCCGGCCGCCCCUACUGGGAAGUGAGGAGCCCCUCUGCCCAGCCAGCCGCCCCGUCCGGGAGGGAGGUGGGGGGAUCAGCCCCCCCGCCCGGCCAGCCGCCCAGUCCGGGAGGGAGGUGGGGGGGUCAGCCCCCCGCCCGGCCAGCUGCCCCGUCCGGGAGGUGAGGGUCGCCUCUGCCCGGCCGCCCCUACUGGGAAGUGAGGAGCCCCUCUGCCCAGCCAGCCGCCCCGUCCGGGAGGGAGGUGGGGGGAAUCAGCCCCCCGCCCGGCCAGCCGCCCCGUCCGGGAGGGAGGUGGGGGGGUCAGCCCCCCGCCCGGCCAGCCGCCCCGUCCGGGAGGUGAGGGGCGCCUCUGCCCGGCCGCCCCUACUGGGAAGUGAGGAGCCCCUCUGCCCGGCCGGCCGCCCCGUCCGGGGGGGAGGUGGGGGGGUCAGCCCCCCGCCCGGCCAGCCGCCCCAUCCGGGCCGUGAGGGGUGCCUCUGCCCGGCCACGGCCCCGUCUGGGAGGUGUGCCCAGCAGCUCAUUGAGAACGGGCCAGGAUGACAAUGGCGGCUUUGUGGAAUAGAGAGGGGAGAAAGGUGGGGAAAAGAUUGAGAAAUCGGAUGGUUGCCGUGUCUGUGUAGAAGGAGGUAGACAUGGGAGACUUUUCAUUUUGUUCUGUACUAAGAGAAGUUCUUCUGCCUUGGGAUCCUGUUGAUCUGUGACCUUACCCCCAACCCUGUGCUCUCUGAAACAUGUGCUGUGUCAAACUCAGGGUUAAAUGGAUUAAGGGCGGUGCAAGAUGUGCUUUGUUAAACAGAUGCUUGAAGGCAGCAUGCUCCUUAAGCGUCAUCACCACUCCCUAAUCUCAAGUACCCAGGGACACAAACACUGCAGAAGGCCACAGGGACCUCUGCCUAGGAAAGCCAGGUAUUGUCCAAGGUUUCUCCCCAUGUGAUAGUCUGAAAUAUGGCCUCUUGGGAAGGGAAAGACCUGACCGUCCCCCAGCCCGACACCUGUAAAGGGUCUGUGCUGAGGAGGAUUAGUAUAAGAGGAAGGCAUGCCUCUUGCAGUUGAGACAAGAGCAAGGCAACUGUCUCCUGUCCGUCCCUGGGCAAUGGAAUGUCUCGGUAUAAAACCCGAUUGUACGUUCCAUCUACUGAGAUGGGGAAAAACCGCCUAUCUCACCUAUCACCGCCUAUCACCACUCCCCAAUCUCAAGUACCCAGGGACACAAACGCUGCGGAAGGCCGCAGGGUCCUCUGCCUAGGAAAACCAGAGACCUUUGUUCACUUGUUUAUCUGCU